AGACCCCGCGGGCCAGCGCCGCGACCCCUUCCCGGCGCUCCUCGCGCUGUACGCGGCGCGUCCUCUGGCCGGUGACCCGGUGUGCGUGGGGUCGAGGCGCCGGGCGGAGCGGCUGCGGGCCGAAACGCCAUGCGGAGGGGCGAGCGCAGGGACGCCGGGGGUCCGCGGCCCGAGUCCCCGGUGCCUGCGGGCAAGGCCUCGCUGGAGGAGCCGCCUGACGGGCCGUCUGCCGGCCAAGCCACCGGGCCGGGCGAGGGCCGCCGCAGCACCGAGUCCGAGGUCUACGACGACGGCACCAACACCUUCUUCUGGCGAGCCCACACCUUAACCGUGCUCUUCAUCCUCACCUGUACACUUGGCUACGUGACGCUGCUGGAGGAAACACCUCAGGACACGGCCUACAACACCAAGAGGUUUAUCUCCACAGGCAGGCAGGCUAGACCUUGGGUGUAUCCUCUGCCUGAAUUCCAUGGAUUCUGACGCCAGUCUCAGAAGUGUGUGUGGAAGAGAAGCUGGUUUUAGAGCCUGUGAA
RNAcentral lists this small RNA (532 nucleotides) under Pongo abelii (Sumatran orangutan). RNAcentral's name for it is "processed transcript". Lineage: Eukaryota; Metazoa; Chordata; Mammalia; Primates; Hominidae. The record is from RNAcentral.